This 744-nucleotide long non-coding RNA is filed under the name Lactuca sativa (garden lettuce). Its description in RNAcentral is "long non-coding RNA (LSAT_LNC007124)". Lineage: Eukaryota; Viridiplantae; Streptophyta; Magnoliopsida; Asterales; Asteraceae. The record is from RNAcentral.
NGAAUAAUAAUAUUGUUAUUUGAUUAAUAUAAGUCAUAGAUUAAUUAGUAUUAAUUUGGUGACUUAAAGAGAUUAAUUAAAUAAGAGGGUAUAAACUGUCAAUUGUUUGAUAGUUACAAUUUGGGUUGUAAAUCCUUAAGGGAUAAGGGUUGGGUGAUUCUAGGGCUUGGGAUAGCCUCAAAUUCAUCCAUGGCUUAUCUAUGGUAAGGAUUAGGAUUGCUUUGAAUAGAAAUUAUCCAACUAGGGUUUAAGGGUGAAACCCUAGGAGCUUUACAAGUAUAAAUAGACCCCUAGGGCAAGGGAAACCGGCACCUCUGCUAAAGCAAAGAAACCCUGACUGAUUUCUAGUCCCUCUCCUCUCUCUCAAAUCAUCCUCUUUGCCAGUUGGUGUUUGUAAGCCAUUAGAGGAGUGACAAUUGUGACUCUAGAGCUCCAAGACAACAAGAUCAAACAAGAGAUUCAAAGGUAAACUUCUAGAUCUGAUUUUGUAUUGUUCUUAUACCUAAUUAGUCAUUAGAAGUCUUGGAUUCAAAGCAUGUUUAAUUAGAGAAACCUAGAUCCAAGCAUUAGGGUUUGCAUGUGCACAUAGGGAUGUUCAUAUGGCCAAAACCCAUCACAUGCACCAUCGGGUCAAGUACAUACCAAAAAAUNACAAGUAUAAAUAGACCCCUAGGGCAAGGGAAACCGGCACCUCUGCUAAAGCAAAGAAACCCUGACUGAUUUCUAGUCCUUCUCCUCUCUCUC